Molecule: long non-coding RNA, 341 nt
Organism: Alosa sapidissima (American shad)
Lineage: Eukaryota; Metazoa; Chordata; Actinopteri; Clupeiformes; Clupeidae
Exons: 2
Source: RefSeq, a predicted model, not a curated record
GUGGGUGUCUGGUUACUGGCAGGCAUCCAGGGGCUGCCCCUAGCCACUCGGCCCAUAUCGGGCAGCAGGCGGAUGGAAUGCGGGCAAAGGAUGCCAAUGCUCUUUCUCCAAUUACCCAGCGGCUCUGAUCCCAUGGCCCUGAGGAGGGCAGCCAACAGAUGAUGACUGUGCUGUACUGUACUAAUCAUGGCAAAGCAAAGCAGUGUGUGUGGGUAAAAAGGUCACCAUAGAGACAAGGAUAUGUGAUGAGACUGUUUGUCACAGGCAACACAAGCAACUAAACCAGAGGACAUCGAUCCACAGAGAUCCAGAUGACAUUAAAAUAAAAACACAAAACAGGA